RNAcentral lists this ribosomal RNA (240 nucleotides) under uncultured bacterium. RNAcentral's name for it is "partial 16S ribosomal RNA". It matches the Rfam family "Bacterial small subunit ribosomal RNA", at positions 96 to 334 of the family's 1533-position model. The record is from RNAcentral.
UGGCGAACGGGUGAGUAACGCGUGAGGAACCUGCCUCAAAGAGGGGGACAACAGUUGGAAACGACUGCUAAUACCGCAUAAGCCCACGGGUCGGCAUCGACCUGAGGGAAAAGGAGCAAUCCGCUUUGAGAUGGCCUCGCGUCCGAUUAGCUGGUUGGUGAGGUAACGGCCCACCAAGGCGACGAUCGGUAGCCGGACUGAGAGGUUGAACGGCCACAUUGGGACUGAGACACGGCCCAG